Molecule: ribosomal RNA, 703 nt
Filed under: uncultured Nitrososphaerota archaeon
Lineage: Archaea; Thermoproteati; Nitrososphaerota
Description: bacterial SSU rRNA
Rfam family: Archaeal small subunit ribosomal RNA
Source: RNAcentral
CGGCCUAUCAGCUUGUUGGUGAGGUAAUGGCCCACCAAGGCGAUUACAGGUACGGGCUCUGAGAGGAGAAGCCCGGAGAUGGGUACUGAGACAAGGACCCAGGCCCUAUGGGGCGCAGCAGGCGAGAAAACUUUGCAAUGUGCGAAAGCACGACAAGGUUAAUCCGAGUGAUUUCUGCUAAAGGAAUCUUUUGUUAGUUCUAAAAAUACUAGUGAAUAAGGGGUGGGCAAGUUCUGGUGUCAGCCGCCGCGGUAAAACCAGCACCUCAAGUGGUCAGGAGGAUUAUUGGGCCUAAAGCAUCCGUAGCCUGUUCUAUAAGUUUGCGGUUAAAUCUAUACGCUCAACGUAUAGGCUGCCGUAAAUACUGUAGAACUAGGGAGUGGGAGAGGUAGACGGUACUCGAUAGGAAGGGGUAAAAUCCUUUGAUCUAUUGAUGACCACCUGUGGCGAAGGCGGUCUACCAGAACACGUUCGACGGUGAGGGAUGAAAGCUGGGGGAGCAAACCGGAUUAGAUACCCGGGUAGUCCCAGCUGUAAACGAUGCAGACUCGAUGAUGCAAUGGCAUAGAGCUAUUGCAGUAUCGCAGGGAAGCCGUUAAGUCUGCCGCCUGGGAAGUACGUACGCAAGUAUGAAACUUAAAGGAAUUGGCGGGGGAGCACCACAAGGGGUGAAGCCUGCGGUUCAAUUGGAGUCAACGCCGGA